AAGGGUGUACGGUGGAUGUCUUGGCAUCGAGAGGCGACGAAGGACGCGACAGCCUGCGAUAAGCGUCGGGGAGCCGGCAAAUAGGCACCGAUCCGACGAUUUCCGAAUGGGGAAACCCCACCUAUAUGGUGACUCCCGCCCGAACGCAUAGGGCGGGUAGAGCGAACGCGGCGAACUGAAACAUCUAAGUAACCGCAGGAAAAGAAAGAGAUAUCGAUUCCGUGAGUAGCGGCGAGCGAAAUCGGAAGAGCCCAAACCGGGAUUCGUCCCGGGGUUGCGGGCACCUCGAGCCUGAAAUAGUUUAGUCGAACCGGAUGGAAAGCCGGGCCAGAGCGGGUGACAGCCCCGUAGGCGACGACGAAAUAGGGCGUUGAGAGGUGUACCAGAGUAGCGCGGAGCUCGUGGAACUCCGCGUGAAACUGGCCGGCCCACCGGCCAAGGCUAAAUACUCCUCGAUGACCGAUAGUGAACGAGUAGGGCGAUUGAACGAUGAAAAGCACGGCGAGAGCCGAGUGAAAAGUACCUGAAACCGUACACUUACAAGCGGUCGGAGCCCUAUGGCGCGCAAGCGCAACGGGUGACGGCGUACCUUUUGCAUAAUGGGCCGGCGAGUGCACGUAUGCGGCGAGGCUAAGCUGUCAAGCAGCGGAGCCGAAGCGAAAGCGAGUCUUAAAGUGGCGCAAGUGCAGCAAUGCACUGUAGUCGCGUGCGUGCGGCCCGAAACCCCGUGAUCUACCCGUGGCCAGGUUGAACGACCCGUAAAAGGGUCGGGAGGACCGAAGCCGUGACCGUUGAAAAGGUCUGGCACGAGCUGCGGGGAGGAGUGAAAGUCUAAUCAAACGGGGAGAUAUCUGGUUCUCUCCGAAAUGCCUUUAGGGGCAGCCUCGGACCAUUACCCAUCGGGGGUAGAGCUACUGACAGAGGAUGUGGGGCUACCCGCCUACGCACCUCUACCAAACUCCGAAUACCGAUGGGCGUACUCCGGGAGUGAGUCCGCGAGGGAUAAUCUUCGCGGUCGAGACGGAAACAACCGAGACCGUCAGCUAAGGUCCCCAA
RNAcentral lists this ribosomal RNA (1056 nucleotides) under uncultured Dinobryon. RNAcentral's name for it is "partial Bacterial large subunit ribosomal RNA". It matches the Rfam family "Bacterial large subunit ribosomal RNA", at positions 13 to 1051 of the family's 2925-position model. Lineage: Eukaryota; Chrysophyceae; Chromulinales. The record is from RNAcentral.